Molecule: ribosomal RNA, 472 nt
Filed under: Streptococcus anginosus
Lineage: Bacteria; Bacillati; Bacillota; Bacilli; Lactobacillales; Streptococcaceae
Description: bacterial SSU rRNA
Rfam family: Bacterial small subunit ribosomal RNA
Source: RNAcentral
GACGAACGCUGGCGGCGUGCCUAAUACAUGCAAGUAGGACGCACAGUUUAUACCGUAGCUUGCUACACCAUAGACUGUGAGUUGCGAACGGGUGAGUAACGCGUAGGUAACCUACCUAUUAGAGGGGGAUAACUAUUGGAAACGAUAGCUAAUACCGCAUAACAGUAUGUAACACAUGUUAGAUGCUUGAAAGAUGCAAUUGCAUCGCUAGUAGAUGGACCUGCGUUGUAUUAGCUAGUAGGUAGGGUAAAGGCCUACCUAGGCAACGAUACAUAGCCGACCUGAGAGGGUGAUCGGCCACACUGGGACUGAGACAUGGCCCAGACUCCUACGGGAGGCAGCAGUAGGGAACUUCGGCAAGUGGGGGGAACCCUGACCGAGCAACGCCGCGUGAGUGAAGAAGGUUUUCGGAUCGUAAAGCUCUGUUGUUAGAGGAAGAACGAGUGUGAGAAGGAAAGUUCAUGCUGUGACG